This 549-nucleotide ribosomal RNA is filed under the name uncultured Glomeromycotina. RNAcentral's name for it is "SSU rRNA". It matches the Rfam family "Eukaryotic small subunit ribosomal RNA", at positions 548 to 1098 of the family's 1831-position model. Lineage: Eukaryota; Fungi; Glomeromycota. The record is from RNAcentral.
UUGGAGGGCAAGUCUGGUGCCAGCAGCCGCGGUAAUUCCAGCUCCAAUAGCGUAUAUUAAAGUUGUUGCAGUUAAAAAGCUCGUAGUUGAAUUUCGGGGUCAGCAGGUUGGUCGUGCCACUGGUAUGCACUGGCUUCGCUGAUUCCUCCUUUCUGAAGAACUGUAAUGCCAUUAAUUUGGUGUUGCAGGGAAACAGGACUGUUACUUUGAAAAAAUUAGAGUGUUUAAAGCAGGCUUUGGCUUGAAUACAUUAGCAUGGAAUAAUGAAAUAGGACGUUCGAUCCUAUUUUGUUGGUUUCUAGGAUUGACGUAAUGAUUAAUAGGGAUAGUUGGGGGCAUUAGUAUUCAAUUGUCAGAGGUGAAAUUCUUGGAUUUAUUGAAGACUAACUACUGCGAAAGCAUUUGCCAAGGAUGUUUUCAUUAAUCAAGAACGAAAGUUAGGGGAUCGAAGACGAUCAGAUACCGUCGUAGUCUUAACCAUAAACUAUGCCGACUAGGGAUCGGAUGAUGUUAAUUUUUUAAUGACUCAUUCGGCGCCUUACGGGAAAC